RNA transcript from Zea mays, 3542 nucleotides. RefSeq lists it as uncharacterized. The transcript has 4 exons. The record is from RefSeq and is a predicted model, not a curated record. NCBI's taxonomy places the organism in Eukaryota, Viridiplantae, Streptophyta, Magnoliopsida, Poales, Poaceae.
GAAUCAGACGGAUAAUAUCGUUCUUCUCGGGACAAGGCACCUCACGAGCCCUUCUCAUCCACAUCAGAUCUAGCGCCGCCUCCUUCAUCCCGCUGGCCGGCGAGCUCCUCAGCGCGGUGAGUCCUCUUUCCCCUCUACUCUCCUCUUCCCCUAUGCUCUCCUCUUCCUCCAAUCCUGCUGACCGGCGAGCUGCUCAGCAGGGUGCGGUGAGUCGCCUAUCCUCUGCUCUCAUUUUCCUCCUUUAUCCCGCUAGCCGGCGAGCUCUUAAGAGCCAGGCGCGGUGAGUUCCUUUCCACUCUGCUCUCUUCUUCCCCUCUGCUCUCUUCCGCGUGGUGAGCCCGGCGCGGCGAGCUCUUCCCCCACAGGCUCGUGACCAGCAGACGCAUCAGGAUCAGGCUCCAUGGACAACAGCUCUCCGACCCCUUUCUGAUGCCUGAUGCUUGGUGUAGUCGUGUAGGUGAGAGAGGGAGAGAGCCAUGCUACAGCCGGCCAGCAUCAAGGAAAAGUUCUUGUCAACUUGUACAGCAGUUCUUAUUGUUUAGCCAUGUAGCUGGUGCCUGGUGUAGCCGUGUCGGUGGUGUAGCAUCCUUUAUUUUUUUAUCAAAUCUACGACAUACUCAUCCACAAGCUAUUGCUAUUAUAAAUUAAUCUCCUUAUUAGUGAACUUAGCAUCAGUUCUUGACUUACAAAUCUACGGCAUACUCAUCGUUUAUGGUUCUUGACUUACAAAUGUACGACAGUUCUUGUCAAUUUGUGUUUCUUGCGCUACUGAAUUGUUUUUAGACUUGAGUAAUGUAAAUAAUUCUAUGCAAAUAGUGUAUGUAGAUCAUAAUGUAUUAAUAUGCAGAUCGUAAUUGCUAUUAGUUCCUUUAUAUUUUGUUUGCAUGAACACUUGAUUGUACACCUAUAUAUCAAUUCUACAUGAUUGUUGUCUUUUUGGAUUUGAUGCUUACAUGUAGAUGGAUAAGAAGACCAAGGUUAUAGUUUGUGUUGCUGAUGCACAUAAGUUACUGUCAAUGAUGGCUAUGAUUAUUCAUUCUAGAAAAAGAAAACGAAAUGCAAGGAGGAUAGGGAUUACCUAUGCACCAAUGCAUGAAAGGGAUAGAGUUAUAAUUGAAUAUCUCAACACAAAGAUUUGGAGGGAUGACACAACAUGUAUAAACAUGAUUAGAAUGAAAAGGGCUUGUUUCUUUCACCUAACUAAACAUUUUAGAGAGCGUGGUUUACUUUAGGACACUAUCCAUAUGUGUGUUGACCAACAAGUGGCCAUGUUUCUAAAUACAAUUGGGCAUAACCUUAGAAAUAGGUUGAUUGGCACGAAUUUUGGUAGAUCUGGGGAAACAGUUAGUCGUUGUUUCAGUAAAGUUCUUCGUGCAAUUGGUGAGCUACGGGGGGAACUAAUUAGGCCACCUUCAUUGGAACUCCAACCAAAAUAUCAAGGAACUACAGAUGGGAUCCGUACUUUAAGGAUUGUAUUGGAGCUAUUGAUGGUACACAUGUAAGAGCCACUGUUCCUAGAGAUAUGGAGCAUGCCUUUCGUGGUAGGAAGUCCUAUGCGACUCAAAAUGUAAUGGCGGCUGUAGAUUUAGAUCUACGCUUCACUUAUGUGUUGGCUGGUUGGGAGGGAACAACUCAUGAUGCUAAUGUAUUACGAGAUGCUUUAGAACGUGUGAAUGGCCUUCGCGUUCCACAAGGUAAAUUCUACCUUGUUGGUGCGGGAUAUGGAGCAAAACCGGGAUUCUUGCCUCCUUUCCGUGGUGUGAGAUACCAUUUAAACGAAUGGGGCAAUAAUCCCGUACAAAAUGAGAAAGAGUUGUUUAAUCUAAGGCACUCAUCUCUUCGUGUCACAGUUGAGCAUGCAUUCGGGUCAUUGAAGAGAAUAUUCAAGAUUUUAGAUGAUAUCUCCUUUCUUCCCUUUUCCAACACAGGUCGAUAUUGUUGUUGCUUGUUGUAUCAUUCAUAAUUGGGUCAUACAAGAUGGGAGUGAUGAUUUUAUUAUACAAGAUUCUAAUUGGUCUAGUCAUAGCCAUGCUACAUCUUUAGUUGGCCAAGCAAGUGAGCAUGCUGCUAUGGUUGCUUUGAGGAAAGGAAUUGCAGACCAGAUGUGGAUAGACCAUUAGAACUACAAUGGAAACUAGUAUCUUGUAAUAUUUGUAAGAACUAUUUGUAAGGAUGUUAUGUUAUUGCAAGGAUGUAUUGGCUACUGUCUUUUAUCUGUAAGAACUAUUUGUAAGGAUGCUAUGUUAUUGUAAGGGUAUAUUGGUUGCUAAUUUUAAUGUUGCUAUGUCAUUGUAAGGAAGUAUUGUUUGCUAAUUUUAAUGUUGUUAUGUUAUUGUAAGAAAGUAUUGUUUGCUGAUUUUUAUGAUCUUGAUACUUGUAGGAAAGAAAUGGAAGCUCAAGGCUUCACUAAUGGGCAUGCUACCUGGACAUCAGCAAUGUCCUCUUUCAUGUUGUCCUACCUGUCCAAUGUGGUGUCAAUUGGCGAAAGGACAUCGUCUGGUUUUAAGAAAGUUCACUACAAUAGUUGUGCAAAAGCUAUCAAUGAAAAGUUCCAAAUCACCCUCAAUGGCGAGCAGAUUAAAAAUCAUCUGAAAACUUGGUCCAGAAGGUUUGCCAAGAUAAAUAGGAUAAGAAAAGUGAGUGGUACAGGCUGGGAUGAAGAUAGUUUUACUAUUACUAUGGAUGAAGAGCACUAUAAUGGCUAUGUUAAGUGCAGCUUUAGGCGAAGAUGAUGAAGUUGAUAAUGAAGAGGUGAUGGCACAUGCUUUCACUAAAAGGAUGUCCACUUGUGAUGAUAAUGCCAUAACAUCUUGUACAAGCAAGACCAGGAAGAAGGCAAAAAAACGUGAUAGUGAAGAUGAGGGGUUGAUUGCUGCAUUCAAAAGUGUCGGGGAUACCUUAUCCAGUGCUAUUGAGAAGGUUGCCACAGGGGACACUGAUGUGCCAGAUGAUCUUUUUGACAGUUUGAUAAACCUUCCAGGUGUGUGUGCUCUGUUCUUAACUUCAGAUGUUGUAACCUAUUUUCUAUUUAUCUGUUUGUCCAAUAAAAACUAUUGUAACCUAAAACCUGAAAACUAUUGUAACAUAUUUUUUGACAAUUUGCUAAACUUUGUAAGUUUUGAGCAAACCCACAUAUCUCUGUAUUUCAAUUAUCUGGUGGCGCGCCCUCACUUUGCUAGAGCCUUCAACAAGUUGCCAUUCGACCACAAGUUAAUCUGGGCUCGCAAUAUCGUCAGUGAAAAGUUCCCGGGAGUGUGAGGGAAGUUGGUAGGUAGGCUUGGAGGGUUCUUUUGCUUGAACCACAUCGAACAAUGAAUUAUGAUCUAUGUGUACCUAGGAGUGUGAGGGCAGUUAGUAGAUAUACUUGGACGGUUCUUUUGCUUGAACCACAUCAAACAAUGAAAUGUGGUCUAAGUACGUCAGCGGAUUUUGCUUGAACAUGCAGAUUUUGUGGAAGCCUUAAACUUGAUAUUAUGUGUAAUGUUAGGACACAUUAUUAUGUACUGUGUGGAAUUAAUAAUAUGUGUGUUUUGUGGACUUAA